RNAcentral lists this ribosomal RNA (632 nucleotides) under Salmonella enterica. Its description in RNAcentral is "partial 23S ribosomal RNA". It matches the Rfam family "Bacterial large subunit ribosomal RNA", at positions 637 to 1269 of the family's 2925-position model. Lineage: Bacteria; Pseudomonadati; Pseudomonadota; Gammaproteobacteria; Enterobacterales; Enterobacteriaceae. The record is from RNAcentral. RNAcentral also lists the same sequence under 1 other name.
GUAGCAAGGUUAACCGAAUAGGGGAGCCGGAGGGAAACCGAGUCUUAACCGGGCGUUAAGUUGCAGGGUAUAGACCCGAAACCCGGUGAUCUAGCCAUGGGCAGGUUGAAGGUUGGGUAACACUAACUGGAGGACCGAACCGACUAAUGUUGAAAAAUUAGCGGAUGACCUGUGGCUGGGGGUGAAAGGCCAAUCAAACCGGGAGAUAGCUGGUUCUCCCCGAAAGCUAUUUAGGUAGCGCCUCGUGAAUUCAUCUCCGGGGGUAGAGCACUGUUUCGGCUAGGGGGCCAUCCCGGCUUACCAACCCGAUGCAAACUGCGAAUACCGGAGAAUGUUAUCACGGGAGACACACGGCGGGUGCUAACGUCCGUCGUGAAGAGGGAAACAACCCAGACCGCCAGCUAAGGUCCCAAAGUCAUGGUUAAGUGGGAAACGAUGUGGGAAGGCCCAGACAGCCAGGAUGUUGGCUUAGAAGCAGCCAUCAUUUAAAGAAAGCGUAAUAGCUCACUGGUCGAGUCGGCCUGCGCGGAAGAUGUAACGGGGCUAAACCAUGCACCGAAGCUGCGGCAGCGACACUGUGUGUUGUUGGGUAGGGGAGCGUUCUGUAAGCCUGUGAAGGUGUGUCGUGAGGC